CCUACGGGAGGCAGCAGUGAGGAAUAUUGGACAAUGGGCGCAAGCCUGAUCCAGCCAUGCCGCGUGCAGGAAGAAGCAUCUAUGGUGUGUAAACUGCUUUUGUACAGGAAGAAACACUCCCUCGUGAGGGAGCUUGACGGUACUGUAAGAAUAAGGACCGGCUAACUCCGUGCCAGCAGCCGCGGUAAUACGGAGGGUCCGAGCGUUAUCCGGAAUCAUUGGGUUUAAAGGGUCCGUAGGCGGUUUAAUAAGUCAGUGGUGAAAUCUGGUCGCUCAACGAUCAAACGGCCAUUGAUACUGUUAGACUUGAAUUAUAAGGAAGUAACUAGAAUAUGUAGUGUAGCGGUGAAAUGCUUAGAUAUUACAUGGAAUACCAAUUGCGAAGGCAGGUUACUACUUAUGGAUUGACGCUGAUGGACGAAAGCGUGGGGAGCGAACAGGAUUAGAUACCCUGGUAGUCCACGCCGUAAACGAUGGAUACUAGCUGUUCGGAGCAAUCUGNGUGNGUAGACGAAGUAGAGUAAGUAAGUACCGACCGUCGGGUAGGUAACGGUUCGUCGAAGAAGUAGUUAAACGUUAAAGGUAAAGUUAGUUACGGCGUGAGACGUUGCCGACGGACGACGACGAGGGAGGAGG
This 636-nucleotide ribosomal RNA is filed under the name uncultured bacterium. Its description in RNAcentral is "bacterial SSU rRNA". The stretch from base 1 to 537 matches the Rfam family "Bacterial small subunit ribosomal RNA", at positions 338 to 873 of the family's 1533-position model. The record is from RNAcentral.